GAUAAGCUGGGCUCGGGCCUGUGAACCCCAGGCCGCUGAAGGAGAACACGCGAACUUAGCUGCCCACCAGGCCAGCCCCUCUACCCGGGCCUUUUUAUAUUCGCUAUGGCCAGUCACAAGGGCAUCGGUCUCCGAGAAUCUCUGAAGUGUCCUCACAGAAGAGAACAAUGGCUCUGAAGUGCUACCACAGGAGAUCCCGAGUGGGACAAAAGCUGAUACUUGGAAGCUGGAGGUGGAUCAUAACAGAACUUCUUCAGGGGAGCGCUCUGUCUCUGCCCUUCAGUGACGAAGCGUGUUCUUCAGGAAUUUGCCAGAUUGUGGGCGAGUUUGCCUGGUGUCAGAGGCAGGCCUGCAGCCUCCAUGACAACCAGCUGUGGAGGGAAGUCACAGGCUGGGGAAGGGCCAACCAGAUGCGACUCCCAGAAAACCCAGGCCAAAUAUGACAUCUGUUUGUGGUCUCAGUGGCUGGCUCUGAUGUUCCAGACUCAUGAGGAUGAAAGUUACAGGGAGAACUUUCAUCACUGCGAUCCUCAGGCAGCGGGAUUUUUCACAUCUUUUCCUCAUCGUCAUGGACACUGACUGGAGUUGAUUUCAUCUGAACCUUUUCAUCCUGAGGCUAGAGCUGAUUCUGCUGGUAAUCCAGCUAUGCCAUUCGCUUGUUAAAAAUGCU
RNAcentral lists this long non-coding RNA (670 nucleotides) under Equus caballus (horse). RNAcentral's name for it is "lncRNA (ENSECAG00000048652.1)". The record is from RNAcentral. Lineage: Eukaryota; Metazoa; Chordata; Mammalia; Perissodactyla; Equidae.